GGGGCCUUAGCUCAAUUGGCUAGAGCGUCUGCUUUGCACGCAGAAGGUCAGGAGUUCGACUCUCCUAGGCUCCACCA
Molecule: transfer RNA, 77 nt
Filed under: Candidatus Peribacteria bacterium
Lineage: Bacteria; Candidatus Peregrinibacteriota; Candidatus Peribacteria
Description: tRNA-Ala
Rfam family: tRNA
About the family: Transfer RNA (tRNA) molecules are approximately 80 nucleotides in length. Their secondary structure includes four short double-helical elements and three loops (D, anti-codon, and T loops). Further hydrogen bonds mediate the characteristic L-shaped molecular structure. tRNAs have two regions of fundamental functional importance: the anti-codon, which is responsible for specific mRNA codon recognition, and the 3' end, to which the tRNAs corresponding amino acid is attached (by aminoacyl-tRNA synthetases). tRNAs cope with the degeneracy of the genetic code in two manners: having more than one tRNA (with a specific anti-codon) for a particular amino acid; and 'wobble' base-pairing, i.e. permitting non-standard base-pairing at the 3rd anti-codon position.
Source: RNAcentral